GGCUUAUUAAUUUUAACCCUAAUAAGACAAAGGCUAUGAUAUUCUCCUGCCAUACUUCCCCAGAUGAUAUUGAAAUAGAAUUUCAAAACCAAUUAGUAGAAUUUGUCUCCUGUCAUAAACACUUAGGGAUUACUUUUGAUUCCAAUGGUAAAUUCCAUACACAUAUAGAAAAUAUUUUAAAGUGUGCAAGCACAAGAUUAAAUGUUCUUAAAAAAUUGAAAUAUGUAUUGAAUAGAAAUUAUCUUGCUCGUAUAUAUUUAACUUUUAUAAGACCCGUUAUGGAAUAUGCAUGUGAGUUAUGGGAUGGUUGUACUCAACAAGAAGCCGACAAUUUAGAACAUGUUCAGUUAGAAGCAGGGAGGUUAGUAACUGGGUUGCCCGUGUUUGCUAGUCGGGAAGCUAUAUAUUUUGAAACUGGCUGGCAAUUGCUUGUGGACAGAAGAAAAUCCAGAAAGCUCAAUAUGUUCUAUUCUUUACAUAAUGGGACUGCCCCUGAUUAUCUCUGUGAUUUAAUGCCCCCGCUUGUUGGUCAAGUAUCUAACUACGAUUUGCGAAACAGUAAUAAUUAUGUAGUACCCGGUUAUAGACUAGACAUAACUAGAAAAUCCUUUUUCCCAUCCACUACUAUUGAAUGGAAUAGCCUUCCCCCGACAUACGUACGUCCAAAAAUAUAAAUAUUUUUAAACGAAAGAUGAAGUCCAAAUUGAUACAGCCACCUUCCUAUUUUAGUUGUGGGGAUAGAAAACUUAAUAUCAUUCAUACACGUUUGAGAAAUAUGUGCAGUUCUUUAAAUUCAGAUUUACAUCGUGUUAAUAUUAAACCAAGUCCCGCAUGCAGCUGUGGCCACCCUGUUGAGGAUAGUAUACACUAUUUUUUAGAGUGCGCUCUUCACAACGAAGCAAGAGAAAUACUGUUUUCAAAAUUAGAAAGUUAUGCUAUAUCCAUUGAGCUUCUAUUAGCUGGUGACGGUGACCUUUCUUUUCAGCAAAACAAAGACAUUUUUGAGUCCGUACAAUCUUAUAUCAGAAUAACACAAAGAUUUAAAACAAUCAAUUAACAUUCUAAAUUUCUACUUUACAACCUUUCACUCCAGUCUAGUUGUUUCAUUAUUAUUCCUUAUUAUAUUGUAUUUUUUUUCUUUUUUCUUUUUAUUUCUAAUUUUUGUUUGAAGUAUGUAUUACAUGCAUUACUACUAUGUUGUUUUUUUUUUUUCGCCAUUAUCUAAUGUACUUUGUGUUUAUAUUUAUAUUGGGAGAGGACGUCUCUAAUGUUGUUAUAACUUGUGUCCAAUCCCUUUUGCUACUUUUGCAAAUAAAAUAUGUUUAAACUAAUAC
This 1334-nucleotide long non-coding RNA is filed under the name Mytilus galloprovincialis (Mediterranean mussel). The record is from RNAcentral. Lineage: Eukaryota; Metazoa; Mollusca; Bivalvia; Mytilida; Mytilidae.